This is a long non-coding RNA of Sander lucioperca (pikeperch), 246 nucleotides long. RefSeq lists it as uncharacterized. The transcript has 3 exons. The record is from RefSeq and is a predicted model, not a curated record. Lineage: Eukaryota; Metazoa; Chordata; Actinopteri; Perciformes; Percidae.
ACAAUGAACAUGUGUAUAACUGCAUUUGAGAAUAAUAUGAUUCAAUGGCAAAUGAAUGCAAACUAUUUUGACCUGUGAGGCUUACUCAAUGCAUGUUGUGUCAAAGCAAUUACAAAUGACUAUAGUCAUGUGAACAACUGACCUAAUGUUCAUAUACAUAGUCAUAUAUAGUUUGACCAAGUUUAAUAGUCAUUCGACAAUUGUGCCAAAGCAAUUGAGAAAAACUGUGUGUAGAGAGAAGAAAGA